RNAcentral lists this microRNA precursor (105 nucleotides) under Marmota monax (woodchuck). Lineage: Eukaryota; Metazoa; Chordata; Mammalia; Rodentia; Sciuridae. The record is from RNAcentral.
AGUGGGAUAACUGGGUCAAUUGGUAAUUCCAUUCCAAGUUUUCCAAGAAUUCUCCAUAUACUGCUUUCCAGAAUGGCUGCACCAAUUUGCAGUCCCACAAGCAAU